UGAUUGCCUUGGGAAUUAAAUCAGUGCAAAUCAUCAGAAGUCAAUCAUCAGCAAUCAAUUGGCCCCCAACUUCCCCAGAACUCAAUCAACAGGCGGUGGGAUGCUGUCGAUGCUCAGGCAGCCCACCGACAAUCAAAGCGUACGUGUAGAUUCUAGCUGAGCUGGCGUUCGGGGCCGAGAGGCAAGUCUUUCAGCAGCCACUGAGGCCUCAACCCUGAUCUUGAUUAUUGCAAUGUUGCUGUAUUUUACGCUGGUGUUGGGUGUGUUCAGAGAGCGAGAAGGGCAGCCUUGCCAACCCUCGGGGUCUCGAGAGUGCGCAAGCCAACCACAUCAGGGAU
This 338-nucleotide small RNA is filed under the name Histoplasma ohiense. Its description in RNAcentral is "hypothetical lncRNA". The record is from RNAcentral. Lineage: Eukaryota; Fungi; Ascomycota; Eurotiomycetes; Onygenales; Ajellomycetaceae.